AGGACCUUCCUGAGCCCCAGGCUGGUUCGUCAGCAAUUUUCCCAGAGCGUAUUUCCUAAGGCACCCAGAGAGGCAUCAGGAGCAGAUUUCUGCAGGCUAACCUCUGUCUGGAGCGAGCCCUUGAAGGAAACCUACGCCCCAGUAGGUUUUGCUAUCAGUGGAGCUCGCCGCUACGCAGGAUUCCUGGCUGCAGAUCAGUUGCAUCACUCCCCUGAUGUCAUCCUGGCAUAUACCACCUCCAGCAUUCUUCUCUGCCCGGGCGAACGAAGUUAAAAAGAAAAACUUUGGAAGGACUUUCUUCAGCACAAGUGAGGAAGCAGCUGUUUACCAU
Long non-coding RNA from Aquila chrysaetos chrysaetos, 331 nucleotides. RefSeq lists it as uncharacterized. The record is from RefSeq and is a predicted model, not a curated record. The transcript has 3 exons. NCBI's taxonomy places the organism in Eukaryota, Metazoa, Chordata, Aves, Accipitriformes, Accipitridae.